Molecule: ribosomal RNA, 464 nt
Filed under: uncultured bacterium
Lineage: Bacteria
Description: partial 16S ribosomal RNA
Rfam family: Bacterial small subunit ribosomal RNA
Source: RNAcentral
GAUGAACGCUGACAGAAUGCUUAACACAUGCAAGUCGAUGGGGAAGUGGUGCUUUCACCAUGGCAACCAUGGCGGACGGGUGAGUAACGCGUAAGGGACUUACCUGCAUGACUGGGAUAACAGCGGGAAACUCCUGACAAGACCGGAUAAUGUCAUUGAGCUGCAUGGCUGUAUGAUGAAAGGAGACGCCUGCGGAGAGCCUUGCGUCCUAUUAGCUAGUUGGUGAGGUAAUGGCUCACCAAGGCGAAGAUCGGUAGCCGGCCUGAGAGGGGGGACGGCCACCAGGGGACGGAGAUACGGCCCUUACUCAUACGGGAGGCAGGAGUGGGGAAUAAUGGACGAUGAGGGCAACACUGCUCCAGCAAUUCUGUGUGCGCGAAGAAGGUUUUCGGAUUGUAAAGUGAUUUCAGCAGGGAAGGAGUAAGUGAAGGUAACUGGAGAAGAAGCGACGGCUAAACACGUGC